Molecule: transfer RNA, 74 nt
Filed under: Anaerolineales bacterium
Lineage: Bacteria; Bacillati; Chloroflexota; Anaerolineae; Anaerolineales
Also listed under: 1 other name
Description: tRNA-Arg
Rfam family: tRNA
About the family: Transfer RNA (tRNA) molecules are approximately 80 nucleotides in length. Their secondary structure includes four short double-helical elements and three loops (D, anti-codon, and T loops).
Source: RNAcentral
GUCCCUGUAGCUCAGCGGAUCAGAGCAUUUGCUUGCGGAGCAAAGGGUCGGGCGUUCGAAUCGCCCCAGGGACG